Small nucleolar RNA from Lupinus angustifolius (narrow-leaved blue lupine), 108 nucleotides. It matches the Rfam family "Small nucleolar RNA Z107/R87". From Rfam's summary of the family: Z107 and R87 are members of the C/D class of snoRNA which contain the C (UGAUGA) and D (CUGA) box motifs. Most of the members of the box C/D family function in directing site-specific 2'-O-methylation of substrate RNA NCBI's taxonomy places the organism in Eukaryota, Viridiplantae, Streptophyta, Magnoliopsida, Fabales, Fabaceae. The record is from Rfam.
GAUCACAGUGAUGACCACAUAAUAUUCAAGCUCAACAGACUGGAAUGUAGGGUUCUCUCUCUUAUGAGAUUACUUUGCGUGUCGACAAUCCCGCUGAACUGAGUGAUC